GGGCACGCGCGGCCGCCAUUGUGCGGUGGGGCGGAGGCUGCGGCCCGUCGGUACCCGGCUAUCCCGAGAGGGAAAGCUGUCUCCGCGCCGGGCGCGUGGCCGUUCGCUGGAGGGGUGUACCCGGCGUGGGCCACGUGAAAGCCAUCGCGGUAUUGCUGCCGUGCUGCCUACUUACUGCCCGUUGUCCUUCCCUGGCUUCCUGCGCUCUGUGGCUGCAUGGUUUAGGCCUGCUCUGUUCUGUAGCACAUGGCCCAGUGCUGGGUUGGAACUUAGCUGCAUGCAUUUCUUUAUAGCUGUUGUGUUCCUUUAAUCUGCACUGCUCAGCCCUGAGGGAGUGCAUGACGUCAGGUCACUGAGCAGCUUUCAGCUCCCAUCUGAGCUUUGUGAUUUUCAGAAAGAGGAUUGCUCAUCAGAGGUUAAGAGUUCAGCACAGCAGUGCGUUGUCAUGCUCACUCCAUUUAGCAUUUGAGAGAGCCCAGCCUUAUCUAAGCUCAGCACCAGGUGGGCAAAGGCCUGAAAUCUCCUGAGUCAAGAUGUGGCCUUGGAUGAGCAUCAUAAUUUUCUGUGGCCCAAACGAUGUCGUCCAUGAAAUGGAGGCAUAGGCAGAGGGGUUGUGAGCUACAGUUCCAUCAUGCUGCUUCCAAGGAGCACACCACAGGCACCACACCACUGACAUGGGGGCAGUCAGAGCAGCACUGUCUUCCACUGCUGUUAUACAGGAGCAAGGCGAGCAGAGCUAUGCACAGCCCAUCUUCUAUGUGCUUGUCUCUAAUGGGUUUUCAAGUCGUGACUAACAAACACAUUUGAGAUGGUUGCUUUGUUUGUACACUCAAGAAUUUUGACAAGCAUUGGGUAAAAGUUAAGAAGUUCCUUUUGGCUUUGGAGAUUUCUUCUUCAAUGGAUGCAAAGAUAAUUGCUGCAGCCAGCCAAAGAGUUUUUUAGUGAUUAAUCUGCACAUCCUUUCUUCUUGUUUUUGUGAUAUCCGUGGGCUCACACAGGAGUAGCACCAGUCAUCACACAUGUAUUUUGCACUACCAUCCCUGCUCGGGGUGUUCCUUGCAACACAGCCCUGCACCAAGUGAAGCAAUUGGAAACUCAGUGUUGGUUCAGACAAGCAUACAGUGGAAUCAAUGCACAGUUUCUUAGAAAAUUACCUUGAUGCAUAGCAUCAACAGAAAAAAUGCAUAGCUUACAGUGCUUGUCUCAUUUAUUUAAUAGAUAUAUGGGAGGCUAGGCCUGAGUUUUGUUCACACUCAGGCCCUUCACUUGCAGAAGAAGUCUGAACACUGUUGUAGCAGCAGCACACCAGCUGUGCUCCGCAUGGUGCAUGUGCCCCCAGUGCCAGGGCUGUGCCAGGGCAUGUGCAGGUGCAAGGGAGACAUUUGCCACUCAGAACACCAUCUCUGCAUCUUUAGGGAGGUAUUCAACAGGUGGCACUUGGUGCAGGCCAUUUCAGAGGGUGUACAUACUAUGCUCUUGGUGGGACUCCUGCAGUCCUUGGUCUAGGUAGAAAACCAGCCCAAUAGCUGCACCUUCAACAUUAUUCUUGACUUCUGGAGACAGGUAUUGGAUUGCAUGUGUGAUGAAUGGGAAAAAUAAUGUAAAACUGCUGACAAAUGUAGUUAAAUUUAUGCUUUCAGGUUUUACACUGCAUUGGAUGAAAUGUGGCUGACAUGCCAGAAGGCUGUGCUGCCAUUCAGCAGGACCUGGACAGGCUGGAGAACUAGGUGGCCUCACCUGGAAUACUGUAUCCAGUUCUGGGCUCCCGAUACGAAAAAAAGACAGGGAUCUUCUGGAAAGGGUCCAGUAGAGACAAAGAUGAUAAAGAGCCUGGAGCACCUCUCUUACGAGCAAAGGCUGAGCGACCUGAGUCUGUUUAUCCUUCAAAAAAAGAAGACUGAGAGGAAAGAGUAAACCUACAUCGGAAAGAAGAAAUCAAGAAAGCCUAUUCUGCAAGUUCUUGGCAAUGCUCAACUACUUCAUGAACUCUACAGGGAAACUGAAGAUCCAGUUUGUCCAGCACACUGCGCAGUAAAACUUGAAUUUGGAUGACAUCAUGAUACCUAGAUACACAUGCUUAAAAUUAAAAGUAAUCAGUACUGCUGUUGUGAAAUGAUAGGCUUUAAAUUGACUUGUUGCACAAUAUGCACAAGGCAGCAUAUGCUGUCCUGCUUUCACGUUUCCUCCUUUUCCUUUUCUAAGAAAAUCUCUACUAUCUCAAUUAUGAACCAAAUGAAAAAUUCGGAGUACCUACACAUAAAGGAAAAAAAGUUAAUGUGGAUAAUGAAAUAUCUCUAAAAGCUUUCACUCAAUGACCCCAAGUGCCUUACAAGUAUCAGUUGGUUUUGUUUGUCCUUCACUACACCUCUAAUAGUGAUCGCCGUUAAGAAGUCACACUUGUACAUGCUGCUUGAUAGCAGCUGGGACCAGAGCCAUGCUAGGGCUGAAGGAGUCAGCAGUGGGGACAUGGUGUCACAUCCCAAGAAACCUCCAUAUAACAGGCAUCUGCAGGAAUGGGAUAUUUCCCUUCCUGAAUGGGCCUCAUCUCAGGUGGAGCGACUGUUUUCUCUUCUGGUGCAUCACUAUGAUACAUCACUGGGCCUUCUGAAGCUCCAUAUUCUACUGAAGAUCUUCUUUCAAGGAUGACAAACUAUCUCUGGCUGAGAUAGGCAACCACUGUGCCACUGUCUGUGCUUGGGCCACCCCUGUCUUAGGAAGGUGGAUCAGAUCUUUCAUCCACCCCUGAAUUUGCAAGGUCAUUUUAACUACAAUUUCAACUGUUUGGGUUAUUCGCUCUACUGCCUCUAAUGAAGAGAGGUCAGCCAAUAACCGUUUUUCAAUCAUACCGUAGCUUUCUUCUGCUCCAUGCCAAACCUGAGACCAGAACCCAACUGGGGUUCAAACGGAAUUCUGGUGCUGCCAUAGGCCUCAGCCAAACCCAUCCCGAGUUACAUGGACAUCUAGUUCAGCUGGAAGGGUGGUACUGAAUAUACCCAGCAUCUGUGCCUGUUUUAAGAGCUAAUUUUACUUGCUGGAAGGCCUCUUGUUUUGUUCUCCCCUGGUCCCAUUUUGUCCUUUCUUUUGUGAGUCACUGUAAAGGCCUCAGCAGCUGCACUAAGUGGGGUAUGAAGGAACACCAGUAUCCCAAUAUAUACCCAAAUUCUUGCAGCUGCCUUGGUGCUGUAGGGACUGGGAAUGCCUGAACCUUGUCUGUUAUCACACUGGGUAGUACUUGGGUCUUUCCUAACCAAACCACAUCCAGGAAUUUUGUUGACAGGCCUGGUCCUUUCACAUUCUGUGGGUUUAUAGCCCAUCCUUUCUCUCGUAGAUAGGUAGUCAAUGAGUCUACUGCCUUUCCUAAUGCCUCCAGUGAGUCAGACAUCAAUAUGAGAUCAUCGAUGUAAUGGUACUGUUUGAUGCUAUUGGGAUUAUUCCAAUCUGCUAGGUCAAGUACCACUAAGUUAUGACGAUAUGUAGAUGAGUGCACACACCCUUGUGGCAGGACCUAAAAGGUUCACUGCCUGUCUCCCCACAUAAAUGUAAACUGAUAUUGUGAUUCUUCAUGGAUGGAAAUCCUGAAGAAUGCAUUUGCCACAUGUAGGACACAAUGGUAGGUUUCUAGCUCCCUACUCAAUGUGUCCAUCAGGAAGGCAAUAUUGGGUAUGGCUGCAUGAAUGGAUGGUGUGACCUUAUUCACUUCUCUGUAAUUCACUGUCAUUCUCCAUGUGCUGUCUGACUUUCAUACUGACCAUAUGGGAGAACUAUACAGGCUAUUUGCAUAUCUAUGGCCAGUAUAUACUCCAGGACUGGGACAGUAAGCAUCUUGAGUAUAAAUACUCCUGGGGUGGAAGAUGCCCAACCCCCAGCUUCAACCAUGUCUGGGUUACAGGGAUGGUCUGUCCCCCAAACCCAGCAAUCAUCAUCCUAGCUGCAUGGAAUUUAGUUGGAUCACCAUAAAUUAUCAAGGUUUCUGCACCCAUGUCUACUAAUGCCAUCACUUGCUCUAUGUUCUUCUGGGACCGAAAAAUAGUUAAUUCAACAUCAGGCCUCAGUUUCCAUCUGGGGCCUCUAGAUGCAGGGGAGCUAGCAUCCCCCAUCAUGCAAAAAACCAUGCAAUCGCCAGUUCUUUUUCUUCAGGUGGCUUGAGCACAGUGGCCUGGAUCACCUGAGGAGGCUUUUUUCUUUUGUUAGGAACUACAAAGUCUUCUGAGAUCUAUGUUCUUGUUGGUACUUGUUCAAUAAUUCUUACCCCUGCUUUUUUGGGGGUGUUUUGUCCCUUGUCCUAUCACCAUCCACCCUCGUAAAUGGCUG
This is a long non-coding RNA of Gallus gallus (chicken), 4311 nucleotides long. RefSeq lists it as uncharacterized. The transcript is spliced from 3 exons. The record is from RefSeq and is a predicted model, not a curated record. Lineage: Eukaryota; Metazoa; Chordata; Aves; Galliformes; Phasianidae.